Molecule: ribosomal RNA, 791 nt
Filed under: uncultured archaeon
Lineage: Archaea
Description: bacterial SSU rRNA
Rfam family: Archaeal small subunit ribosomal RNA
Source: RNAcentral
GCUACUGCCAUCAGAGUUCGAUUUAGCCAUGUUAGUCGAGGGUGCUUCUUCUUCGGAAGAAGUAACCCGGCGGACGGCUCAGUAACACGUGGAUAACUUGCCCUUGGGUCUGGGAUAACCCCUGAGAAAUUGGGGACAAUACCAGAUAGGGCAUCGAUAGCUGGAAUGCGCGAUGUCCAAAAGCUGAGGCGCCCAAGGAUAGGUCUGCGGCCGAUUAGGUUGUUGUUGAUGUAAUGGAUCAACAAGCCUGCAAUCGGUACGGGUUGUGAGAGCAAGAGCCCGGAGAUGGGUUCUGAGAAAAGAACCCAGGUCCUACGGGACGCAUCAGGCGCGAAAACUUUACAAUGUGCGAAAGCACGAUAAGGGAACUCUGAGUGCCUCCUAUGGAGGCUGUUCAGGUGUCUAAAAAGCACUUGAAGUAAGGGCUGGGUAAGACCGGUGCCAGCCGCCGCGGUAACACCGGCAGCCCAAGUGGUAGCCACGAUUAUUGGGUCUAAAGCGUCCGUAGCCGGCCAGGUAAGUUCUUUGGGAAAUUUAACCGCUCAACGGUUAAGCUUUCAGGGAAUACUGCUUGGCUUGGGACCGGGAGAGGUCAGAGGUACUUCAAGGGUAGGGGUGAAAUCCGUUAAUCCUUGAGGGACCACCAGUAGCGAAGGCGUCUGACCAGACCGGGUCCGACGGUGAGGGACGAAGGCUAGGGUCGCGAACCGGAUUAGAUACCCGGGUAGUCCUAGCUGUAAACGAUGCGGGCCAGGUGUUGGCAUUACUGCGAGUGAUGUCAGUGCCGAAGG